This 391-nucleotide ribosomal RNA is filed under the name Bicosoecida sp. CB-2014. RNAcentral describes it as "partial Bacterial small subunit ribosomal RNA". It matches the Rfam family "Bacterial small subunit ribosomal RNA", at positions 528 to 917 of the family's 1533-position model. The record is from RNAcentral. Lineage: Eukaryota; Bigyra; Bicosoecida.
GAGGGGGUUAGCGUUGUUCGGAAUUACUGGGCGUAAAGCGCACGUAGGCGGAUCAGAAAGUUAGGGGUGAAAUCCCAGGGCUCAACCCUGGAACUGCCUCUAAAACUCCUGGUCUUGAGUUCGAGAGAGGUGAGUGGAAUUCCGAGUGUAGAGGUGAAAUUCGUAGAUAUUCGGAGGAACACCAGUGGCGAAGGCGCCUUUCUGGACUGUGUCUGACGCUGAGAUGCGAAAGCCAGGGUAGCGAACGGGAUUAGAUACCCCGGUAGUCCUGGCCGUAAACGAUGGGUACUAGGUGUAGGAGGUAUCGACCCCUUCUGUGCCGGAGUUAACGCAAUAAGUACCCCGCCUGGGGAGUACGUCCGCAAGGAUGAAACUCAAAGGAAUUGACGGG